This 30-nucleotide non-coding RNA is filed under the name Mus musculus (house mouse). Lineage: Eukaryota; Metazoa; Chordata; Mammalia; Rodentia; Muridae. The record is from RNAcentral.
UAUGAAGAAUCCAGCCUUUGGAGCCAGGCA